GGACCCGCACAAGCGGUGGAUUAUGUGUUUAAUUCGACGCAACGCGAAGAACUUACCAGGCCUUGACAUACUCGGCAAAGCUCUAGAGAUAGAGUGGAGGUUAUCCGGGAUACAGGUGGUGCAUGGUUGUCGUCAGCUCGUGUCGUGAGAUGUUGGGUUAAGUCCCGCAACGAGCGCAACCCUUGUCUUUAGUUACCAUCAUUCAGUUGGGGACUCUAGAGAGACUGCCGGUGAUAAACCGGAGGAAGGUGGGGAUGACGUCAAAUCAUCAUGCCCCUUAUGGCCUGGGCUACAAACGUAAUACAAUGGCGUAUACAAAGGGAUGCGAAAGGGCGACCUGGAGCAAAACUCACAAAGUACGUCUCAGUUCAGAUUGGAGUCUGCAACUCGACUCCAUGAAGGCGGAAUCGCUAGUAAUCGCGGAUCAGCAUGCCGCGGUGAAUACGUUCUCGGGGUUU
RNAcentral lists this ribosomal RNA (458 nucleotides) under uncultured Erysipelothrix sp. RNAcentral describes it as "bacterial SSU rRNA". It matches the Rfam family "Bacterial small subunit ribosomal RNA", at positions 920 to 1378 of the family's 1533-position model. The record is from RNAcentral. Lineage: Bacteria; Bacillati; Bacillota; Erysipelotrichia; Erysipelotrichales; Erysipelotrichaceae.